Molecule: ribosomal RNA, 380 nt
Filed under: uncultured eukaryote
Lineage: Eukaryota
Description: partial 18S ribosomal RNA
Rfam family: Eukaryotic small subunit ribosomal RNA
Source: RNAcentral
CAAUAGCGUAUAUUAAAGUUGUUGCAGUUAAAAAGCUCGUAGUUGGAUGUCUGGCUCUCGCAGGAGCUGUCUGCCGAAAGGUAGCACGGCUCGGCGGGGCCAUCCUCUCGAGGACGGGGUGUGCCUUUAACUAGGUGUGCCUUUGGACUCGGGACCUUUACUUUGAAAAAAUUAGAGUGUUCAAAGCAGGCCUACGCUUGAAUACAUUAGCAUGGAAUAAUGGAAUAGGACUUCGGUUUCUAUUUUGUUGGUUUCUAGAACUGAGGUAAUGAUUAAUAGGGAUAGUUGGGGGCAUUAGUAUUUAAUUGUCAGAGGUGAAAUUCUUGGAUUUAUUAAAGACUAACAUCUGCGAAANCANNNGCCAAGGAUGUUUUCAUNAA